This 477-nucleotide ribosomal RNA is filed under the name Candidatus Scalindua brodae. RNAcentral describes it as "bacterial SSU rRNA". It matches the Rfam family "Bacterial small subunit ribosomal RNA", at positions 365 to 832 of the family's 1533-position model. The record is from RNAcentral. Lineage: Bacteria; Pseudomonadati; Planctomycetota; Candidatus Brocadiia; Candidatus Brocadiales; Candidatus Scalinduaceae.
UUCGCAAUGCCCGAAAGGGUGACGAAGCGACGCCGCGUGGGUGGGGAAGGCCUUCGGGUUGCAAAGCCCUGUCAGGAGUUAAGAAAUAUAAGUGUGUUAAUACCGCAUUUAUUUGACGAAGGCUCCAAAGGAAGCCACGGCUAACUCUGUGCCAGCAGCCGCGGUAAUACAGAGGUGGCAAGCGUUGUUCGGAAUUAUUGGGCGUAAAGAGCACGUAGGUGGGUUUGUAAGUCAGAUGUGAAAGCCUUCUGUUCAACGGGAGAAUUGCAUCUGAAACUGCAAGUCUUGAGUAUAGGAGGGGAGAGUGGAACUUCUGGUGGAGCGGUGAAAUGCGUAGAUAUCAGAAGGAACGUCGGCGGCGAAAGCGACUCUCUGGCCUAUUACUGACACUGAGUGUGCGAAAGUUAGGGGAGCAAACGGGAUUAGAUACCCCGGUAGUCCUAACUGUAAACGAUGGGCACUAAGUAGAGGGGUUUU